AGUGAACGCUGGCGGUAGGCCUAACACAUGCAAGUCGAACGGCAGCACAGUAAGAGCUUGCUCUUACGGGUGGCGAGUGGCGGACGGGUGAGGAAUACAUCGGAAUCUACUUUUUCGUGGGGGAUAACGUAGGGAAACUUACGCUAAUACCGCAUACGACCUACGGGUGAAAGCAGGGGAUCUUCGGACCUUGCGCGAUUGAAUGAGCCGAUGUCGGAUUAGCUAGUUGGCGGGGUAAAGGCCCACCAAGUCGACGAUCCGUAGCUGGUCGGAGAGGAUGAUCAGCCACACUGGAACUGAGACACGGUCCAGACUCCUACGGGAGGCAGCAGUGGGGAAUAUUGGACAAUGGGCGCAAGCCUGAUCCAGCCAUACCGCGUGGGUGAAGAAGGCCUUCGGGUUGUAAAGCCCUUUUGUUGGGAAAGAAAAGCAGCAGGUUAAUACCCCGCUGUUCUGACGGUACCCAAAGAAUAAGCACCGGCUAACUUCGUG
This 492-nucleotide ribosomal RNA is filed under the name uncultured bacterium. RNAcentral describes it as "partial 16S ribosomal RNA". It matches the Rfam family "Bacterial small subunit ribosomal RNA", at positions 29 to 507 of the family's 1533-position model. The record is from RNAcentral.